GGCACGAUGGCCGAGCGGUCUAAGGCGCUGGAAUCAGGCUACACAAUAAAGCAUCCAGUCCGAAAGGGCGUGAGUUCGAAUCUCACUCGUGUCA
Transfer RNA from Paxillus involutus ATCC 200175, 94 nucleotides. It matches the Rfam family "tRNA". Rfam says of the family: Transfer RNA (tRNA) molecules are approximately 80 nucleotides in length. Their secondary structure includes four short double-helical elements and three loops (D, anti-codon, and T loops). The record is from Rfam. Lineage: Eukaryota; Fungi; Basidiomycota; Agaricomycetes; Boletales; Paxillaceae.